UGAGCUUGCUUUAUAUCCUAGGAUUGAUUGAUUGAAAGACAACUGGAUAUAGCUUUGCAAAAGACUCCUUGGAGAUUGUUCGAGUAGAAGAUGAUUGACACCAAAACAAGGCAGGUUGAUGACAUGGAGUGGAUUGUCUGCAAAUUCUUCAGGAGCGUAAACUUGCAAGGAGAGAAGGAUGCGCACGAGAGAGGCAAUCUUCCCCCCUUCUUGAGAAUCUGAAAAAUAUUUCCAUCGUUGUAUGGUUUGUUGGUUGAUAUGCAAUUAGUCUAAUUGGGGUUCGACCAAAAAAUACAUGGUCCAUAAUAUAUAUAUGAAUGAAUAGAUCAAUUUACAGGUUUGGAUAGUAAUGAAAAUAAUAUAAUUAUAAGAGUGAAUGGAAAAGAAAAAUCGUAGGAGAAAAGAGUAAGUGAUUCGGUGUAACAAGUAGGUUUUUAAUAACAUAGAACUACACUGAGGUGUAAUACUUAAUCUCUAUUAGAUUAAUCAAAUAGAUAAGAUUCUUUUAAAUUAGUAUAAUGCGUGAAUACUAAAUGUAAAGGUUCGGGAUUCCUGAAAGAGCCGAGAGAGAGAGAGAGAAAAAAAAAACUGAAAAUUAAAAUCUGAAAU
Molecule: non-coding RNA, 609 nt
Organism: Prunus avium (sweet cherry)
Lineage: Eukaryota; Viridiplantae; Streptophyta; Magnoliopsida; Rosales; Rosaceae
Source: RefSeq, a predicted model, not a curated record